GCGAGAUGUUUGUAUGGACGAGAACGCGGCCUCGCUCAGGUGUGGGCCUGGGGAAGGAGGCGCUCAGGGGCCCGGAUAGAGAAUGGAAGGGCUCCAGGGUGCAGACCAUGGCUGGGGAGCGGCUAACGGCCAGAGAGGUCGGAGAGAGAACCGGGCUCUAGCUGUUUGGUGCGUAGGUGAUGGUGAAACAAGGGGAGCUCAGCAGACAGAGGGAGCACCCGGGGCAGGGCAGGAGGCAGAACCGGAACGGCAUAAACGGCGUUGCAGAAGCCAAGGCGCGGCGCUGGGGUCUGGAAAGAAGAGAGAGAAAGACUUGUACGCCUAAACGUAGGCUAGAACUGCGAGGGAGACGGCAGAGGACAGGUGACUUGAUGGAACCCAGACUGCUGGAACAUCACCAUGGGCAAGCUGGUCAGAUGAUUUCCUCCACAGACACAAGGUGUUUGGUCCAUGACUAGUACUCUGUACUUGAAUGAUUUUUUUUUUUACUUUUUUUGCUUAUAUUUUCCUAUAUUCCUUUAUUAUUUUUACUUAUUCUGCUUUUGUGUGCAUUGCAAUAAAUGAUAGACU
This 570-nucleotide long non-coding RNA is filed under the name Chinchilla lanigera (long-tailed chinchilla). RNAcentral describes it as "lncRNA (ENSCLAG00000023881.1)". Lineage: Eukaryota; Metazoa; Chordata; Mammalia; Rodentia; Chinchillidae. The record is from RNAcentral.